RNAcentral lists this ribosomal RNA (281 nucleotides) under uncultured prokaryote. Its description in RNAcentral is "partial 16S ribosomal RNA". It matches the Rfam family "Bacterial small subunit ribosomal RNA", at positions 524 to 803 of the family's 1533-position model. The record is from RNAcentral.
CACGUAGGGGGCUAGCGUUAUCCGGAAUUACUGGGCGUAAAGGGUGCGUAGGUGGUUUCUUAAGUCAGAGGUGAAAGGCUACGGCUCAACCGUAGUAAGCUCUUGAAACUGUAAGACUUGAGUGCAGGAGAGGAGAGUGGAAUUCCUAGUGUAGCGGUGAAAUGCGUAGAUAUCGGGAAGAACACCAGUGGCGAAGGCGGCUCUCUGGCCUGUAACUGACGCUGAGGCGCGAAAGCUAGGGUAGCGAACGGGAUUAGAUACCCCCGUAGUCCCUGAGCGGG